GACACCCUCAUUUCUGCUACACAGUCCCCUGCGUAACUCUCUCUCGCUCUCUCUCUCGAUUUAUUAAGAUCUGGAGUCGCUUUCCUGCUUGACUUUUAUGACGAAAAUGACCCAUCAUUUCCCAUGAAUAAACAUCAACGUCUCUUCCUUUUUUUGUGCAAGUCUCCAUUUUUUCUUCCUUGUUUUCCUAUAAAAAUCAAGGCAUUGACGAGGGAAUUAUAGUUUUUGAGACACAAACAAAAAUGACCCAUCAUUUUUCCUACGAAUAAAAAUCAACUUCUCUCGAGUUUUCUGUGCCGUUCUCCCUUUUGCAGUGGACUGAGAGUUAUAGUAAUAUAUAGAUACAUGGGAGAAUUAGAUUUCCCUAGAGCAUCAUGUUAACAUCAGAUUUAGGGUUUCGGUUCUUAUGGAGUACAGCAGUGAAGUUACUUUUCGAAACACAAACACACACACACACGCAGUCCCUGAUAAUUAGAUCAUGUAUUUAUCUUCUCUCUACUUUUUCUGCUGAGCAAAACCUUUUUCCUGUGAUUUUCCCGUGGAUUCCAUGGAAUGACAAAACUAGAAGGCCCCUGUGGGUGGUUUUGCAAGGCUGCUAGAUGGGGAAUAUUGUCCAAAACCACUCUACUGUUAGCUUUGUUAAGUAGUUGCUUUCCGUUUUAUCUGUACACUGUUGACAGUGAUAUGGCCCGUAAUCCAGAUACGUGAACCUUUCUUAAUUACAUUGUAUUUAUUAUUAUCAAUGUCUUUUUCUUUCGUGAUAUAGCAUGUCACAUUCUUUGAUAAUGCUGAUUUAAUGGCUAGAUUGUCUAGAGCUUGAUAUGAAAGUUGCUAGCAGCUAAACUUUGCCCCUUGUACUUGCCUUCUUCAUUAACAAGUCGCCAGUCACAUCCACCCAGUAUACCUAGGUGUGUCUUAUUAUAUAUCUUGAUGAACCGUGCCGAUCACUUCCUAAAAGCACAUACUGUGCUAUUUAAUGCGUGAAUUUGAAGUGGGGUGCGUGUGCUAGCUAGAAGUUUAUACUGUAGUGGUCCGUAUUACUUAGUUGUGAGAGAAUUAAUCGUGGGAGAGAGCUUCUUUCAGCCCACUCGUGGAUAGGACAAAGGGGUUGAACUAGCUGCCGACUCAUUCAUUCAAGCACUAGUAGAAAAAAAGGCGAACGGUGUUUCUUUUGCUACUGUGAUUGUGUGAAUGAUGCGGGAGAUAAUUUUCCAUCCUCUCCUUUUCUGUGCUUGGACUGAAGGGAGCUCCUUCCUUCUCUUGCUUUCAUUCAUUGAAGAAACAGUCUAAUACUGUUUGUUCGCUGGUUAAAUUUCUACUUUUUUACCAUCACCAUCAUCUGCCAGCUGAUACUUUGGCUUGUACUGUUCUGUCAUAUCAUGAUCAACUAAUUAAUGUUCUUAAUUUUCUUGUUAUAAAUCUCUUCCACUAUUAGUACUGUCAUCCUGCCAAUACGUAGAAAGAAUUGUACAUUUUCUUACACAUAACUGUUUAAUGCUAAUUACCCACUGGCAUACCUGUUUUACUUUGCAGGGAAACAACACAUGUUGAACUGGUAGCCAACCAGUCGAUUUACUAUUCAAUUUCCUUGAAGAGAAAAACACCCCUCCUCCUCACUAUUUUGGGCAGACAAAGAGGCAUUCUCUCUGAAUUUUCCAUGUCAAAUGAAUUUAUAAGAUCAUUUGUUACUUGUCUUCCCUUUUCUCCUUAAUUUGUGACUUUUUUUGGAAUUGUUUUUGGACAAUAUUGAGACUUCCUUUGGAUAAUUUAAAUUCUGGCUAGCAACAUAUGAUAUGGUCUCCCAGAUGUCAAAACCUGGAACUGUUUGAAUUAA
Long non-coding RNA from Populus trichocarpa (black cottonwood), 1834 nucleotides. RefSeq lists it as uncharacterized. Lineage: Eukaryota; Viridiplantae; Streptophyta; Magnoliopsida; Malpighiales; Salicaceae. The transcript is spliced from 2 exons. The record is from RefSeq and is a predicted model, not a curated record.